CUGGCGGAUGCGGCUAUUUGGUUCGGGCUUAUGCAUGCAAGUUUAUUCCUCGAUUUAUCGUUGGGAUGGCGAACUGCUCAGUAACACGUAGUCAAUCUACCCAAAGGUUACGGAUAACCACGGGAAACUGUGGCUAAUACGUAAUAGGGGUUCUGUUCUGGAAUGAACGAACCCUGAAACAUUAGGCCCUUGGAGGAGACUGCGGCUGAUUAGCUAGUUGGUGGGGUAACUGCCUACCAAGGCGAUGAUCAGUACGGGCUCUUAGCGGAGUUGCCCGGAGAAGGAAUCUGAGACACUAUUCCUAGCCCUACGGGGUGCAGCAGCAGCGAAUCAUUUGCAAUGUACGAAAGUAUGACAAUGCGAGCCAAAGUGCCUUUCAUUUCGAAAGGCUUUUACCCACUGUAAAAAGGUGGGAGAAUAAGGACUGGGCAAGACCGGUGCCAGCCGCCGCGGUAAUACCGGCAGUUCAAGUCGCAUCCACUUUUAUUGGGUCUAAAACAUCCGUAGCUCGCUUUUUAAGUUUCUUGUGAAAUCCUACGUCUCAAGCGUGGGGCUUGCGGGAAAUACUGGAAAGCUAGAGAUCGGUAGACGUAAGGAGUACACCGGAGGUAGUGGUAAAAUACGUUAAUCUUCGAUGGACUAACAAUGAGCGAAGGCACCUUACGAGGACGAAUCUGACAGUCAGGGAUGAAGGCCAGGGGCGCAAAACGGAUUAGAUACCCGUGUAGUCCUGGCAGUAAACACUGAUCACUAAACAUCGGGCCCUCUUCGGGAGGAUUCGGUGCUGAAGCGAAGGCGAAGAGUGAUCUACCUGGGAAGUAUAGUCGCAAGAUCGAAACUUAAAGGAAUUGGCGGGGAGACAUACAACGAGUGACGCGUGCGGUUCAAUUAGAUUCUACACCGUGAACCUCACCAGGAGCGACAGCAGGAUGAAGGUCAGUCUGAAGGGCUUACCUGACACGCUGAGCGGAGAUGCAUGGCCGACGUCAGCCUGUGCUGUGAAGUGACCGGUUAAAUCCGGUAACAGGCGAGACCCGUGCUCAUAAUUACUACAGAAAUGAGUACAUUAUGAGGACUGCUGUGGUAACACAGAGGAAGGUGCGGGCUACGUUAGGUGAGUACGUCCCUAAUCCCCUGGGCUACACGCGCGCGGCAAUGGUAAGUUCAAUGAGAUGCAACUCCGAGAGGAGAAGCUAAUCCCCUAACACUUAUCUCAGUCCAGAUUGUGGGUUCCAACCCACCCACAUGACGUUGGAAUUCGUAGUAAUCGGAUAUUAGCACUGUCCGGUGAAUAAGUCCCUGUCUCUUGCACACACCGCCCGUCAAACCAACCGAGUUAUGCAGAAAAGACGCCCUUCUGGGAAGAUUUUUUGUAUGACAAGGUGGGUUAAGUC
RNAcentral lists this ribosomal RNA (1394 nucleotides) under metagenome. Its description in RNAcentral is "bacterial SSU rRNA". It matches the Rfam family "Archaeal small subunit ribosomal RNA". The record is from RNAcentral.